UAGGGAAUCUUCCACAAUGGACGCAAGUCUGAUGGAGCAACGCCGCGUGAGUGAAGAAGGCUUUCGGGUCGUAAAACUCUGUUAUUGAAGAAGAACGUGUGUGACAGUAACUGGUCAUGCAGUGACGGUAUUCAAUCAGAAAGUCACGGCUAACUACGUGCCAGCAGCCGCGGUAAUACGUAGGUGGCAAGCGUUGUCCGGAUUUAUUGGGCGUAAAGCGAGUGCAGGCGGUCUUUUAAGUCUGAUGUGAAAGCCUUCGGCUUAACCGAAGAAGGGCAUCGGAAACUGGGAGACUUGAGUGCAGAAGAGGAGAGUGGAACUCCAUGUGUAGCGGUGAAAUGCGUAGAUAUAUGGAAGAACACCAGUGGCGAAGGCGGCUCUCUGGUCUGUAACUGACGCUGAGGCUCGAAAGCGUGGGUAGCAAAACAGGAUUAG
Molecule: ribosomal RNA, 435 nt
Filed under: uncultured bacterium
Lineage: Bacteria
Description: partial 16S ribosomal RNA
Rfam family: Bacterial small subunit ribosomal RNA
Source: RNAcentral